This 460-nucleotide ribosomal RNA is filed under the name uncultured bacterium. Its description in RNAcentral is "partial 16S ribosomal RNA". It matches the Rfam family "Bacterial small subunit ribosomal RNA", at positions 338 to 795 of the family's 1533-position model. The record is from RNAcentral.
CCUACGGGAGGCUGCAGUGAGGAAUAUUGGUCAAUGGACGAGAGUCUGAACCAGCCAAGUAGCGUGAAGGAUGACUGCCCUAUGGGUUGUAAACUUCUUUUAUAAAGGAAUAAAACGAGGCACGUGUGGCUUUUUGUAUGUACUUUAUGAAUAAGGAUCGGCUAACUCCGUGCCAGCAGCCGCGGUAAUACGGAGGAUCCGAGCGUUAUCCGGAUUUAUUGGGUUUAAAGGGAGCGUAGAUGGGUUGUUAAGUCAGUUGUGAAAGUUUGCGGCUCAACCGUAAAAUUGCAAUUGAUACUGGCAGUCUUGAGUACAGUAGAGGUAGGCGGAAUUCGUGGUGUAGCGGUGAAAUGCUUAGAUAUCACGAAGAACUCCGAUUGCGAAGGCAGCUUACUAAACUGCCACUGACACUGAGGCUCGAAAGUGUGGGUAUCAAACAGGAUUAGAUACCCGGGUAGUC